Molecule: ribosomal RNA, 442 nt
Filed under: uncultured bacterium
Lineage: Bacteria
Description: partial 16S ribosomal RNA
Rfam family: Bacterial small subunit ribosomal RNA
Source: RNAcentral
CCUACGGGAGGCUGCAGUGGGGGAUAUUGCACAAUGGGGGAAACCCUGAUGCAGCGACGCCGCGUGGGCGAAGAAGUCUUUCGGUAUGUAAAGCCCUAUCAGCAGGGAAGAAGAAAUGACGGUACCUGAGUAAGAAGCACCGGCUAAAUACGUGCCAGCAGCCGCGGUAAUACGUAGGGUGCAAGCGUUAUCCGGAUUUACUGGGGGUAAAGGGAGCGCAGGCGGCACGGCAAGCCUGAUGUGAAAGCCCGCGGCCCAACCGCGGGACUGCAUUGGGAACUACCGGGUUGGAGUGCCGGAGAGGUAGGCGGAAUUCCUAGUGUAGCGGUGAAAUGCGUAGAGAUUAGGAGGAACACCAGUGGCGAAGGCGGCCUACUGGACGGUGACUGACGCUGAGGCUCGAAAGCGUGGGGAGCAAACAGGAUUAGAUACCCUAGUAGUC